CGCACAUUGCGCCCUUUGGCAUUCCGAAGGGCAUGCCCGUUCGAGCGUCAUUUCACCAAUCAAGCCUCGCUUGGUAUUGGGCGAGGGGUGCACCACCCCCGCCUCCAUUCCACCGGCUGAACGAUUAGAAUCUUAGCGUUGUGAUCAUCAAAUCGCUGAAGAGGAUCGUCGGGCGAGCCGUUAAACCUCAUCAAAGGUUGACCUCGGAUCGGGUAGGGAUACCCGCUGAACUUAA
This 235-nucleotide unclassified non-coding RNA is filed under the name Ramichloridium sp. RNAcentral describes it as "partial contains 5.8S ribosomal RNA, internal transcribed spacer 2, and large subunit ribosomal RNA". Lineage: Eukaryota; Fungi; Ascomycota; Dothideomycetes; Mycosphaerellales; Dissoconiaceae. The record is from RNAcentral.